UACGUAGGGGGCAAGCGUUAUCCGGAAUUACUGGGUGUAAAGGGUGCGUAGACGGUGACAUAAGUCAGGUGUGAAAGCCCGAGGCUCAACCUCGGGACUGCACUUGAAACUGUGUGACUAGAGUACAGGAGAGGAAAGUGGAAUUCCUAGUGUAGCGGUGAAAUGCGUAGAUAUUAGGAGGAACACCAGUGGCGAAGGCGACUUUCUGGACUGUAACUGACGUUGAGGCACGAAAGCGUGGGGAG
RNAcentral lists this ribosomal RNA (245 nucleotides) under uncultured Vallitalea sp. RNAcentral describes it as "partial 16S ribosomal RNA". It matches the Rfam family "Bacterial small subunit ribosomal RNA", at positions 524 to 768 of the family's 1533-position model. Lineage: Bacteria; Bacillati; Bacillota; Clostridia; Lachnospirales; Vallitaleaceae. The record is from RNAcentral.